AGAGUUUGAUCAUGGCUCAGAUUGAACGCUGGCGACAGGCCUAACACAUGCAAGUCGAGCGGAAACGAGUUAUCUGAACCUUCGGGGAACGAUAACGGCGUCGAGCGGCGGACGGGUGAGUAAUGCCUAGGAAAUUGCCCUGAUGUGGGGGAUAACCAUUGGAAACGAUGGCUAAUACCGCAUAAUGCCUACGGGCCAAAGAGGGGGACCUUCGGGCCUCUCGCGUCAGGAUAUGCCUAGGUGGGAUUAGCUAGUUGGUGAGGUAAUGGCUCACCAAGGCGACGAUCCCUAGCUGGUCUGAGAGGAUGAUCAGCCACACUGGAACUGAGACACGGUCCAGACUCCUACGGGAGGCAGCAGUGGGGAAUAUUGCACAAUGGGCGCAAGCCUGAUGCAGCCAUGCCGCGUGUGUGAAGAAGGCCUUCGGGUUGUAAAGCACUUUCAGUCGUGAGGAAGGUGGUAGUGUUAAUAGCACUAUCAUUUGACGUUAGCGACAGAAGAAGCACCGGCUAACUCCGUGCCAGCAGCCGCGGUAAUACGGAGGGUGCGAGCGUUAAUCGGAAUUACUGGGCGUAAAGCGCAUGCAGGUGGUUUGUUAAGUCAGAUGUGAAAG
Molecule: ribosomal RNA, 613 nt
Filed under: uncultured Gammaproteobacteria bacterium
Lineage: Bacteria; Pseudomonadati; Pseudomonadota; Gammaproteobacteria
Description: bacterial SSU rRNA
Rfam family: Bacterial small subunit ribosomal RNA
Source: RNAcentral